UGAGGAAUAUUGGACAAUGGGCGCAAGCCUGAUCCAGCCAUGCCGCGUGCAGGAAGAAGCAUCUAUGGUGUGUAAACUGCUUUUGUACGGGAAGAAACACUCCUUCGUGAAGGAGCUUGACGGUACCGUAAGAAUAAGGAUCGGCUAACUCCGUGCCAGCAGCCGCGGUAAUACGGAGGAUCCAAGCGUUAUCCGGAAUCAUUGGGUUUAAAGGGUCCGUAGGCGGUUUAGUAAGUCAGGGGUGAAAGCCCAUCGCUCAACGAUGGAACGGCCAUUGAUACUGCUAGACUUGAAUUAUUAGGAAGUAACUAGAAUAUGUAGUGUAGCGGUGAAAUGCUUAGAUAUGACAUGGAAUACCAAUGGCGAAGGCAGGUUACUACUAAUGGAUUGACGCUGAUGGACUAAAGCGGGGGUAGAGAACA
RNAcentral lists this ribosomal RNA (422 nucleotides) under uncultured bacterium. RNAcentral describes it as "bacterial SSU rRNA". It matches the Rfam family "Bacterial small subunit ribosomal RNA", at positions 355 to 774 of the family's 1533-position model. The record is from RNAcentral.